RNAcentral lists this transfer RNA (133 nucleotides) under Chloroflexota bacterium. RNAcentral's name for it is "tRNA-Gln". Lineage: Bacteria; Bacillati; Chloroflexota. The record is from RNAcentral.
GUCGAUGCCCACGAGUCGCGUGAACGGGGUGUCGAAGACGAUUGCCAUGGCCAUCUCCUCUUCAUCGUCACGAUACGCGACGGGCCCACUGACUCUGGAUCAGGAGAUCGAAGGUUCGAAUCCUUCCUCGCCA